Molecule: small RNA, 117 nt
Filed under: Escherichia coli
Lineage: Bacteria; Pseudomonadati; Pseudomonadota; Gammaproteobacteria; Enterobacterales; Enterobacteriaceae
Description: RtT sRNA
Rfam family: RtT RNA
About the family: This family represents a bacterial cis-regulatory element known as RtT RNA. The exact function of RtT is unknown although it is thought that it may be involved in changing the cellular response in relation to amino acid starvation.
Source: RNAcentral
AUUCUGCCCAUGCGGGGAAGGAUGAGAAGCUUCGACUAAGGUUCGGCUCGAGCGUCAGCGAGAGAGCGUUGCCGCAGGCGAAGCGCGCAGCGCUGAGUAAUCCUUCCCCCACCACCA